Molecule: long non-coding RNA, 1354 nt
Organism: Neodiprion virginianus
Lineage: Eukaryota; Metazoa; Arthropoda; Insecta; Hymenoptera; Diprionidae
Exons: 3
Source: RefSeq, a predicted model, not a curated record
GUAGCUUGCUUUGCUUUCGUUAGCUCGGCGAUUGAUAUUCUGGAAAUGAUUAAGAAAACAAAAAAGGAAUGAUAAAUCAAUAACAAUGAUCCAAAUUGUUCAUGGAUAUGUAAAAUCGUCGCUACACACACUAGGGACGGAAAGAACGGGCUAGGCAGAUGCCGGAAGUGAGUCACCCGGCUACGGGAAAAUCGAAGUAGAGGUGGUGAACGGGUGAAGGAAGGGAGCCACCGGCGUGCGCAGAGACAGCGAACUGCGAAUCCCUGGCCAUCUGCGCAACCGUUAGCCGCACCAAGCGCAACACAUAUUGAUUCACGUGGGAGGAUAGGACAUAGAAGUAAAAGGAUAGAGUACUGAAAGCGGCUCUGAAAGUAUGCAGCCUGUAGAAGGCACAGAGGGCACAGAGCUUAUAUACUUGGAGCUGCUUGGAGAAUAAAGAUUAUAAGGAUACACGAUCUCUUCGAAUGAAUAGAUUUUGAGAAUCGCCAAGAUCAAAGAAUUUUUAAAUUCUCGGAAAAUACAAGAAACGCUGACUGAAGAUAUAUGAUGACUGAUCGGACUUUUCGUAAUCUAAAAUGGAUGGGAUAAAUUCUUUCUGUAUGAUCUAAGGAUAAAUUCAUCGUCAAGCAGUGCCCUCUGCGUCCUAUGUUGCACGCGUAACUUAAUCCAGCAAGCGGUCGGUACGUAAAGACAAGAACUGAUGUUACCAUCGCUCGCUGCGUGUGCCCAGAUAAUGCAGAGUCGAAUAUUAUUAUGCCUAUGGAAUGUCGAACGGAAACAGACUAAAAUUCUCAUAUAACCCUGUCUGGACGCCGCAUACUUUUCAACUACGCAAAUUCAUUUAGACAAAUUCAGCAAUGUCAAUCUAACUCCAUCGGAUCGAAAAAAAUAAUGUUACCUACAUUGAUGCACAAUAAACAUGCACCAGGUUUACUGUUAACAGAGUUAGAAACCUUUUCUUGAUUUAAUUAAAGGAUGGAGAUACAUACUUGUUCCUAUGUAAUAUGUUCCUUAUGUAAUUGCUGUACAUAUUUUUAUUACUUGACUCGUAUCGUUAACUGAAGACAAUAAUAAUAUGUAUCUUCAGUCAAUGCUCAUCUUCAUUCUGAAAGAAAAUGCAGCUGACAUGUAAAAAUAGUUUCUUAACUGACGUUAGAUUUCCGUGGUCUUUGAAAAUACAGUUUAUUUUCAGUGGAAAACUAAGACCUUUCUACACAAAAAAAUACAUGUAAAUAUUUUUUGGAAAUUAGCUAAGACUCGAUUGUUACUAAUGUUUGAGUCCAUGCUGUAACAAGCCCCGAUAGAUCUCAGGCAAUCGUUAUCACAAAUGUAAUUAAAAUAAAUUUAAAGAUGA